Molecule: transfer RNA, 55 nt
Filed under: Alligator mississippiensis (American alligator)
Lineage: Eukaryota; Metazoa; Chordata; Crocodylia; Alligatoridae
Also listed under: 1 other name
Rfam family: tRNA
About the family: Transfer RNA (tRNA) molecules are approximately 80 nucleotides in length. Their secondary structure includes four short double-helical elements and three loops (D, anti-codon, and T loops).
Source: Rfam by way of RNAcentral
GGUUCAGUGGUAGAAUACUUGUCUGCCAUACAGGAGACCUGGGUUUGAUUCCUGG